GAUGAACGCUGGCGGCGUGCUUAACACAUGCAAGUCGAACGGAAAGGCUCCUGCUUGCAGGGGUACUCGAGUGGCGAACGGGUGAGUAACACGUGGGUGAUCUGCCCUGCACUUCGGGAUAAGCCUGGGAAACUGGGUCUAAUACCGGAUAGGACGAUGGUUUGGAUGCCAUUGUGGAAAGUUUUUCGGUGUGGGAUGAGCUCGCGGCCUAUCAGCUUGUUGGUGGGGUAAUGGCCUACCAAGGCGUCGCCGGGUAGCCGGCCUGAGAGGGUGUACGGCCACCUUGGGACUGAGAUACGGCCCAGACUCCUACGGGAGGCAGCAGUGGGGAAUAUUGCACAAUGGGCGCAAGCCUGAUGCAGCGACGCCGCGUGGGGGAUGACGGCCUUCGGGUUGUAAACUCCUUUCGCUAGGGACGAAGCGCAAGUGACGGUACCUGGAGAAGAAGCACCGGCUAACUACGUG
RNAcentral lists this ribosomal RNA (465 nucleotides) under uncultured bacterium. Its description in RNAcentral is "partial 16S ribosomal RNA". It matches the Rfam family "Bacterial small subunit ribosomal RNA", at positions 28 to 507 of the family's 1533-position model. The record is from RNAcentral.